This is a long non-coding RNA of Scylla paramamosain (green mud crab), 593 nucleotides long. RefSeq lists it as uncharacterized. The transcript has 2 exons. NCBI's taxonomy places the organism in Eukaryota, Metazoa, Arthropoda, Malacostraca, Decapoda, Portunidae. The record is from RefSeq and is a predicted model, not a curated record.
AUAGAAAAAGUCCUGGAAAAUGGCCACAGUUUGGUAUGAAAUGUCUAGGUGGCGAGGUAUCCAGGUAAGGAAUGACAAGACCACACAGUAUACACCUGGCCAGGUAGACAGCACGGGCAGUAAGUGGCGUGCGUGGCGUGGAGGUGUAAGGGAGCAUAGCGAGCACAGCGGACAGGCGGGCAGGUAGCGAGAGGCGGUCGCUCUACAUAAUGCUCAUCUGAGUAGGGAAACCAGGUAUAAAACGGCCACGUAACUAGGAAAUACAGGCUUUACGAUGGGUGCCUCCCUGCAUGGCAAGUGGGUGGUGGUGGUGGUGGUGGUGGUGGUGGUGGCGGUGCGAGGUCGGCGAGGCGGUGAGAGGCGAGCAGCAGUAGCGAGGAGGCGGUCGGGCUGGACGGACGUGCCUGCCUUGCCUGGAUCGUGAGGCGCCCCCCUGCCCGCCGCCGCCGCCUCCCUUGGCACUAAAGUUAUGAGUGAUCGCCGCCGCCGCGCCUGACGGUAACUGCCGCAUAAUACUGCGACGGGACGCCACUGUUCCCUUGAAAAGAAAAGAAUAAAAAAACCGGAGAAAAGAGGUAGAAAGAAAGAAAAGA